CUCUAAUCCAACAAGACUGGUGUCCUUAAAAGAAGAGGGAAAUAUGGACACAGACAUAGACACAGAGGAAGAUGAUGUGAAGACACACAGGGAAAACAUCAUGUAAAGACAGGCUUGGAGUGGUGCACCUACAAGCCAACACAGAAUCACAGCAUCUCAGAGUUGGAAGGAAUUCUUCAUAUGACCACAUUGAUUUUUUUUUUCCUGUUGGUCGGCAUCAGAUUUGUGAAGGCCCCUGGAAGAUUGGAUGGUGCCUGCCUAUACGGAGGGCGGAUCUUCCCCUCCUCGUCCACUCAGACUCACAUGCAAGUCUCCUCUAGAAACACCCUUGCAGACACACCCCAAAAUGACACUUUUAGAGUGUCUUCGAAGAAGGUAAAUAUUGUUCCCAUUUUGUGGAUAAGAAAAAUGAGAACCAGAGCGAUCAAGGGCUUGCUCAAAAGUACUCAACCAGUUAAUGUCAGAGCUGGCACCUGAACUCAGGCCUCUACAACUCUAAAUGUUUUCAAUGAUAGCAGAAUUGCCUCUAAUGGCAAAACAUUGUAGAAUCAUAUUGAUGUUUCAGAUUAUAUUGCCAGUCGUACUUCGUUGAGCUAUGCUUGGUAAUGCCACUGCCAUCUUGGAAAGAAAAUAGAUGCUGAAGUUCCCCAUAGAUGCUGAACACUCAGAAAGUGCCAAUAGUUGCAUCGAUUUGAUUGUAUCUGCUACCUCAUUCCCUCUGAAACACCUGCAAAUAAAGGAAAAUAACUAACCCAUUGUGCCCCCAUCUAAGAAUGCCUGAAAUCAGAAAUAUCCCAGCAUUGUGACCUGAAGUUGCCUCAGCAGGAAGUUCUGUUUUUUAAAUUAGGACUCUAGCCAUUUUUUUUCCCAGUAGCUCUUAUUGCCAGUGGGGCUUUGAGCAAACAGUUCCCAGGAAAGCUGUCUAUACCUACAUGAUAUGAAGACAAUAAUGAUACCUGCUUCCUGUCUACCUGGCAAGUGUGUUGGGAAAAGCAAUAAGAUAAUGUCUGUCAUGUGCUUUGAAUGCCUAGAAAGAAAGAUAGGGUUUAUGAGCAAGGGUGUGAUUAUAUUGAGUCAGCC
This 1080-nucleotide long non-coding RNA is filed under the name Homo sapiens (human). Its description in RNAcentral is "HSALNT0298775". The record is from RNAcentral. Lineage: Eukaryota; Metazoa; Chordata; Mammalia; Primates; Hominidae.